UACGGGGGGGGCAAGCGUUGUUCGGAAUUACUGGGCGUAAGGGGCUCGUAGGCGGCCAACUAAGUCAGACGUGAAAUCCCUCGGCUUAACCGGGGAACUGCGUCUGAUACUGGAUGGCUUGAAUUCGGGAGAGGGAUGCAGAAUUCCAGGUGUAGCGGUGAAAUGCGUAGAUAUCUGGAGGAAUACCGGUGGCGAAGGCGGCAUCCUGGACCGACACUGACGCUGAUGAGCGAAAGCUAGGGGAGCAAACGGG
Molecule: ribosomal RNA, 253 nt
Filed under: uncultured bacterium
Lineage: Bacteria
Description: partial 16S ribosomal RNA
Rfam family: Bacterial small subunit ribosomal RNA
Source: RNAcentral